This 406-nucleotide ribosomal RNA is filed under the name uncultured bacterium. RNAcentral describes it as "partial 16S ribosomal RNA". It matches the Rfam family "Bacterial small subunit ribosomal RNA", at positions 30 to 526 of the family's 1533-position model. The record is from RNAcentral.
AUCGAACGCUGGCGGCAGGCCUAACACAUGCAAGUCGAACGAGUGGCGGACGGGUGAGUAAUGUCUGGGAAACUGCCCGAUGGAGGGGGAUAACUACUGGAAACGGUAGCUAAUACCGCAUACCAUCGGAUGUGCCCAGCUGGGAUUGGCAAGUAGGUGGGGUAACGGCUCACCUAGGCGACGAUCCCUAGCUGGUCUGAGAGGAUGACCAGCCACACUGGAACUGCGACACGGUCCAGACUCCUACGGGAGGCAGCAGUGGGGAAUAUUGCGCAAUGGGGGCAACCCUGGCGCAGCCAUGCCGCGUGAAUGAAGAAGGCCUUCAGGUUGUAAAGUUCUUUCAGUAGCGAGGCGUUAGCUACAGAAGAAGCACCGGCUAACUCCGUGCCAGCAGCCGCGGUAAUUC